UCGCCUUAAAAACCCCGAUGGCUCGACCAAGUAAACUAAUGAUGCAUUUGAAAUCCUCAAAAUGGCGUUCCCCAAAAUUCCAGGGAAUCCCAAUAAUAAUAAAAAAAUUAAACCUUAUUAGAAAUUUUCACAAACACAAAAACUACCUGAACCCCACAAACUUAAAAAAAAACACUCAUAAUAUCCCCCCCCCCUCGCACUCCCCUCUGCGCGCGCAGGCGCCACCCCACCAGAUGUCAGCACAUGCGACUUUUCCCAAAACUCACAUACACUGGCAAAAUAAAAAAAAAAAUCUUAUCCCUGUGUUGCAUCCUCUCGUAUCUCGCAGCGGGAGCCGAGGGCGCUUCUACGGUAAGCCGUGAAACACAAAACGUCGUGAAAAUUUUCAGUUGAAUUCCCCCCGAUUCCGGGUUGUUCCCUGAGCAUAAAAACAUCGAAGUAAUAAAUUAAAAAAACAGCCAGCAAUAACCGACUGACACCCGCUGAUCCUAGUCGCCUAGACUCCAGUGAUGCGGUGACGAUGCGUGCAACGACUACCUCGACAUCUCGACUAAUUGGAAUUAAUUGAUAAUUAAACAAUCAUCGAGGAACGGAGAAGUAUUUUUUUAAUUCCCCUGGACUUGUCUGCCUCACACAACAUCAUCCCGGGUGGAAUAGUCUGAUGAGACACUCUAUUGAAUAUCUGGUGGUAAGAUGGCUGUGCAGCUGGACGGCGGGGGGAAAGAAGACUUGAAAACACAAUUUAUAACCCGCGAGGGUACUUACAAACUUAUGACACUAUCGGAAUAUUCGAGGCCAAACAGAGUUGGUAAUACAGACACGAGGGAUAGUGCAUCGGUUAGAGUGUCAUUCGUAACAUUACCUGAUCCAGCCGAUCCCAGUGGUACACAGGGUCUUGGUGAUCGAAUGUGCUUCAAUUUUGGAAAAGAAUUAUAUGUUUACGUUUAUCGUGGAGUCAAAAAGGCGGUGGAUUUGAACAAACCGGUGGAUAAGAAGCUGUACAAGGGAACAAAUCCAACGUGCCACAAUUUUAAUCAGACAACUGCUACUGCUGAGAUUGCACCACUUCUCGUGGGGUUUUCAACUGGACAAAUACAAUUAAUCGAUCCUAUCAAGAAGGAGUUGAAUAAAUUGUAUAAUGAAGAGAGACUGAUAGACAAGACAAAAGUGACCUGCAUAAAGUGGGUCCCAGGCUCGAGCAACCUCUUCCUAGUGUCUCACAGCUCAGGUCAACUCUACCUCUACAACUGGGAGCUCCCUUGUGGUACGACCCCACCUCAUUACCAGCCCUUCAAAUCCGGGGAUGGUUUCGCAAUUCAUACCUGCAAAACAAAAUCCACCCGUAAUCCCCUGUACCGAUGGGUCAUUGGAGCUGAGGGUUGUUGCAUCAACGAAUUUGCCUUCAGCCCCUGCGGAACAAAUCUAGCUGUUGUAUCACAAGACGGCUUCCUCCGGGUGUUUCACUAUGACACAAUGGAACUUGUAGGUUCAGCGAGAAGCUAUUUUGGUGGUUUUUUAUGUGUCUGUUGGUCGCCAGACGGUCGUUACGUUGUUGUGGGAGGUGAGGAUGAUCUUGUGACUAUCUGGAGCUUCAACGAAAAACGAGUAGUUGCCCGGGGUCAGGGCCACCACAGUUGGGUGAGCGUUGUAGCAUUUGAUCCAUUCACAACGUCUUAUGGAGAAGCUGAUCCUGAUUUCAGUGGAUCUGAUGACGAGGCGAUACAUGGCAAUCACAACAAUCAUUAUCACGAGAAAACAAAAAGAACUUCCACAGCUUCUCAAGGAUUAAAUUCAAACAGAAAUUCUUGUGGCUCUGAACUGAGAGUAUCCGGUGGCACUUGUUACAGAUUAGGAAGUGUCUCUGAAGAUACCCAAUUGUGCCUGUGGGAUAUCACUGAAGAUGUACUGCGGCAGCCUGUGUGUGCCAAACAGAGGGCAUCCACUGCUGGAUCUGGUACAUUCACCUCAUCUGGUACUUUCACCAGUGGUAAUGGAUCCACUUCGAAUCAUUUCAACAAUAGCAAAUACAAUAACAUGAAUAAUAUCUCCAAGGAUGACAGGAAUGAUACAACAGCAAGUGUUGCUGUUUCUACUGUUAAUUCAUUGACUCAAAGAUUUGCUGGUCUUGGUUUUGGUGAUAGAAAGGGUGAUAAUCAUAAGAGAAACUUUAGUCUACCAUUAAGAAGUACAAGUACAAGUAAUAGUAAUGUACAAGUGCAGAAUAGUGGUGAAAAAUCAACGACUAACGGAAGUAAUAUGAACAGUGUCAGUGGUUUUGGUGGUAAAAAAGUUAGUUCUGUGAUGGAUGAUCCAAUGAGAUUAAUUGGUACAGCAUGGUGUCCGAGAUUUGAUGAGUGUCCUGUACUUGAGCCACUUGUUUGCAAAAAAUUGGCACACGAGAGACUGACUGAAUUAGUUUUUAGGGAGGAUUGCUUCGUUACAGCUUGUCAGGAUGGAUAUGUUUAUACAUGGGCAAGACCUGGGCAUAUGGUAGGUCCACUUACUAUUAGCAGCACACUGCACAGGCCACAUCACCAUAGUAAUGUACACAGUAAUAUCAAUUCCAUGCGACUUAAUGAUCUCUGAUGGGGGAAUUUCGACGGGGGUUAACUAAGUUAUUCGACAAGUUGAUAAUACAAAAUUUUGAUGAUUAUUGGAAUUAAUACUGUUUGGUCUGGUAGUCGUCAGUAGAGGAACAACAAAUUUAUUUCCUGGCAAAAUAUUACUUUACACUGUUUAUUGUAUCGUUUAUCAGCUUAUUCUCUUUCCUUCCAUUGAAACUGAAAUUAUACGAGCAUCAGAUUGCAUUACGGCUUUGAGUUUUGAGAGAUAUUUCAUCAUUGUUUCAAGGAUCAAUGUAUUAUUAUCUUGUUAUGUAACAAUUUUAGCUGUAUGUGGAGAAUUGUUUGUGGAAAUCAUGAAAAAAUUGAGGGUUUUACUUGACGUAAAGAAUAUCAACUUUUUCAGAAUUUCCUUUUGAUUUUAUUCAGGGCCCAGUGACAUGUGAGAUCAAAGAGAAAAAUAUUCCAGAUUGAAAGUUGAUAUUCUCUCAUCAUUUUUACUCAGAAAAGAUAUUUUUUUCAUUAUUGAUUUACUCACACUGAAGCACAUAUAAUCGAAAUUCAUCUUCAUUUCUCUAGUAUAUUUUAUACAUAUACUUUAUCUAUAGAAUAAAAACAGUUCAUAGUUUUUUCCUUCAAAUUAAUGAGCUGAACGAAAAAAAAAAACAAAUUUUCAAUUCGAUGAGGUAUUAUCAUUCAUUUUCUUCAACCAACUAAUAAUACUAUCGAAUAAAAGUAUUUUCAUGCUAUAUAUUCAAUACUUUUCGGUUCUUCAAAAAAAUUAAGCUAAACAUGACAAAAAUAUUAAUUUUUUAUUUUUAUUUCCAAUUAAAUGCGGUUCCAUUCUCGUGAACGAAGUGAGGGAAUAAACGUUUAAAAGAAUUCUAAAGUAAAAAUAGUACGAACAUACAGAACAUUUUUCUCUCUAAUCUCAACUAAUCAAGUAGCGACGAAUAGCUCUCAAAAAGUAAUACUCUCAAUUUUUUCAGAAAUUUUGGAGAAAUUGGAAUAUGUUAAUAGGCUGUUUAUCAAAAAAUCCUUCACAUAUUGCAUUUAAAUAAAUAAAUAAUUCAUUGUCUAAGUUCAGUGAGUCACCUAUAAUCAUAAUUAUCUGUCCUAAUUAUCCUUUAGGUGCUCACCGAUGGUUAAUUUGUUUUGAACGCAAAUUAUGUCAAUUUUGUUUUCUAAAGAAAAAGAAAAUUAAUUUAUUGUCUUGAAAAUGUUGCCAAUAGAAAUUGAAACGUUAAUACAUAGGCUAAUCUUUGUUGUUGCUUUUUUUCGUCGUAAUAACCAGGCUAAAUAAUAAUAAUUUUAAUCAAUCAAGGAAAUGGGGGAAUUGGAAAGAGAAAGAGGAAAAGUCCUUUUCAUCAUACAAAUUUUUACAUUGCACUUGGUUUUAAUGGGGAAUUGUUUCAGAUACGAAACAACAAUAUAUCGGAGAUGAAUAUAUUGAAUUUUAUUCAGUUGUUGAAGGGAUUCUCUUACAUUUGAAACAAAUUAUUUCGAUUUGUUGGGAAAACCUGUAAGACAAGAUGCGAAGGAAAAUUAUAUUACUGAAGUGGAGGUUGGAUUUAACAGUGAAGUGGCACUUGCCUCAAUUUUUAAGUUCAAAAAAUUUUGACCUAUUUUGGGGACUAUAUAACUCUGUAAUAAUUGUACUUUAUAGCAUUUUCGUCAAAAAUUUGCCGUUAUCGAGAUUAUGGAUAUUUUAUGAUUGGUAGCGUCUAAAAGAGUAAAAAAAAAUCUUCCUGUUUGAUAAUAAGGAUUUGACUUGAAGAUUUAGUGGGUUUCGAAGGAAAUGUCAGAAGGCAUUGUUUAAAGAAAAUAGAAUUUUCAGCGAAAAACCUUCAAUUUUUCCUCAAAACCACUUAUUCUUGCGGAUUCGAUAGUUUCCUCAAUACUUUGCCACUUCACUGAAUUAUCAAUUAUUUAAACAUUUUCCUUAUUCUUCGUGUUAAAAGUAUUAGAUAGACUUUUAGGUAUUUAUCCAAAGUGCGAUAUUGCGUGUGAAGGACACUGCAAGUUACAUCAUCUCAAUUAUUUUAAUUAACAUAUAUAUUUUUUCAAGAGAAAUUAAUAAUUGAUUUAGUGAUGUAUGUGGUUGUGUGCCAUUCCUUGGGGAUUUGGGAGGGGGGAGGGGGUGGGGGAAGAGAUGUUUAAUCUUCACUUUCUCUGAAUUUCAUAAAUACAGAAAGGAAAAGAACGAACACCUACAUAAAAUCCACUCAUUUGUUUUUUUAAUUAAAUUACUAGAGAAUUUAUCUAUAAUUUUUGUGUUAAGUUCCCUUCCCCGACCCCUUCAUUCUUUGUUCGAUUUAUCAACAGGGCAGGUCCCUCUAAACAAAAAACGAAGAAAAGGAAAUCAUUAAAUCAUUUUUAAAAGUCCCCAAACUCUUUAUAUUGAGCAUUUAGUUUAUAGAAAUUAGAACUAAAUGUAGAUGGAAUGCUAGACAAUUUAUUCAAUAUUAUUAAUGAUAAUCCAACAACAACAAUCAUCCCCCCCCCCAUCCACCUCCAUUUAUCAUUCAUAAAUUUGUGAGAUUUAAUUUUCUUUUUGUUAAACUGAAUUUUCAUUACUGUAAAAAUAAUAAUAAAUCAUGAAAACCAAAAGAGGAAAAGGGGAAUGUGUAGAUAAUUAAUUAGUUUUUUUUAUUGUCAUAAGUUGAAUGAGACCCGUGCUUGCUUCCCUGCUUGAGAUUAAUAUUUCUUUUGGCGAGUGAAUGUGUGUUACCGAGAGUAUAAUGAAAAAAUAUAUACAAUGGGAGAAAGAAUGUGAAUUCUAGAGAUAACGAGAUGAUAAACCAUUAAUAAAAUAAGUUAUUCGAUGCCACAUGAGAUUAAUUAUUUACUUUCUUAUAUGUUUACCGAUAGAAAAAUAUAAAAAUAUAAUUGACGACAUUCAGUUAAUUUAUGGGUACAAAUUUAAAAUAAUAUUUUCGAAAUGUUCGUUACUGCUGAUAUUUUUAAUACUCAAAAUAUAAGUUAUGGUCGGCUUAUCUGUAAUUUUUUCAUCCAGAAUUUUUUAUAAAAUUCAUAUCGAUAGCUAUAUUAUAUUAUUUUUCGUGAAUUAUUUGUUUCUUAAUGAAUGAGUUGUGCGAUAUGGCUUUGGCUAUUGCGAGAUAACGUGGAUUUGCUGCUAUCCCCAAUACUUAUCGCAUGCCGGGCCAACAAGUUCUAACAGUUCCACAUAUUGUCAGCCCUGGUGAGAGUGGUGGGACAGUAGUAUAGCCACAGCCUGAUUCCCCCAGAUCGACAGACUCAUCAAUAAUUAAUAAUAAAAAUAGUGAUAACUAUUCACAGUCAUCAUCGCGGUCUACAGUAGUACCAUUUCUACCCCCAAAAAAUCAUCGUCAUUUGUAUUACAUAUGGCCCAGCGAGCACUACUCGAGUCCAGUCUGAGUUUUCAAUGAUUUACGAAAUCAAAAAAGCUGAUAAAUAUUUUUUUCUCCAUCGAGUUAAUGUCUCCAACAGAAGAGUGAUUAUUCAUUCAACGAUCAACAGCAAGACGAUAUAGUUUAACAGUUUUCACAUGCUUUUGUACAAUUUUUUAAGUAAAAACAAAACUAACGAGAUAAUAUGACAGAGUUGAGUGGCUCUUAUAAAUAUUGAACUGAAUCAAUUCAUUAAAAAAACUAUUGAGAGUAUUAGAAAGUGAAUUAAGGUAUGCCUGAAUCAAAGUGUGAAGAUUGCGAUUAUCAUUCCAUUAUUUGCUUGAUAGGUAGAAUUCAAUGAUUGCAUGAAAAAUUAAAACAAUGUCAAUUGAUUACAAAAAGAAAUUAUGAAUCUUCGUCUGAAUAGAUUUGCAAUGCUACGACCCUCACGUCUAAUCUCCAGAAUAAUUGUCUUUAUUAGCGAAAAUGAAUAUUAAUUUGUUGAUAUGGCGCAGCUCAAUAAAUCUUUUAGCACAAUUUUCAUGAGAGAUUCAUACAAAAAAAGAUGAAUCGCCACUGUUGAAUUGCCUUAGUAAAAUCGUAAGUAAGAGAAAAAAAAUUAUGAGAUUUAUGUAAUGACAAAGUUCUUCAUUUCCUCACGUUUAUGAUUAUACAUGAGAGCAGUUGAGUAUUUUUUAGCUUAACAAAAUGACAAACGUUGAAAUGUGUAAAAGAAUCGUGUGGGAAAAAAACAUAAUGGAGAAUAUCCCAGUGGAGAAUUGCAAUCAUUGUUAUUUUUACCAACAAAUUUCACAUUAUGGCAGUCACUUCAUUCAUUCAAGUUCCAAUUAUUAAAAUUAUUAAACAACAAAGAAAAUUAUUUCUACAGUUUUAUCUAAAUAAACAGUAUAAUUUUGAAAAAUGAAACAAUAUUUUCGUUGUAUUAGAGUAGAGUAAUUCUGAAAAUUCCGAAAAUGAAUAUUUUAGUGAAAAACACUUGGAUAUUCUCUCUUUGCUUUACUACAAUGUAUGAUGAAAAUAACGUGGGUGUAUGACAUGUUGAUAAAGAAAAUAAAUUGACAUGAGAGAGUAGUUCCUGCACCUGAGGGCUAUGAGAUAACUUUCCAAGUUUUCAAGUUUUACGAAGAGACUGGAUAAUUCAUUGUCGGCAUGUGAAAAUGAAAAUUCCUGAAUAAGAAAACAUUUUGAAAAAUUUUCCAAGAACUUUUUCGGAUUCAGGAAUUAGAGUUUAGAAAAUUAUUCAGAAUUUUUUCCUAAAAUCCUAUGGCUUUCAGGUGUACAUUCAAUGUAUUAUAAGGAAAGUGGUCCGGAGAAUAUGGCAAAAUAUAUAAAUGAA
This is an RNA transcript of Diachasmimorpha longicaudata, 7289 nucleotides long. It is a transcript of the gene named WD repeat-containing protein 20, with no coding region annotated. The record is from RefSeq and is a predicted model, not a curated record. Lineage: Eukaryota; Metazoa; Arthropoda; Insecta; Hymenoptera; Braconidae. The transcript has 4 exons.